RNAcentral lists this ribosomal RNA (326 nucleotides) under uncultured Bacteroidota bacterium. Its description in RNAcentral is "bacterial SSU rRNA". It matches the Rfam family "Bacterial small subunit ribosomal RNA", at positions 28 to 351 of the family's 1533-position model. Lineage: Bacteria; Pseudomonadati; Bacteroidota. The record is from RNAcentral.
GAUUAACGCUAGCGGCAGGCCUAAUACAUGCAAGUCGAACGGUAACAGGUCCAGCAAUGGAUGCUGACGAGUGGCGCACGGGUGCGUAACACGUAUGCAAUCUACCCUUAACUGGUGAAUAGCCCCGAGAAAUCGGGAUUAAUACGCCAUAAUAUUAUGAUGAGGCAUCUCAUUAUAAUUAAAGCUCCGGCGGUUUUGGAUGAGCAUGCGCGACAUUAGCUAGUUGGUGAGGUAACGGCUCACCAAGACCGCGAUGUCUAGGGGUUCUGAGAGGAUUCACCCCCACACUGGUACUGAGACACGGACCAGACUCCUACGGGAGGCUG